GAUGAACGCUGGCGGCGUGCCUAAUACAUGCAAGUCGAGCGGUAAGGCCUCUUCGGAGGUACACGAGCGGCGGACGGCUGAGUAACGCGUAGGAACGUACCCCAAAGUGAGGGAUAAGCACCAGAAAUGGUGUCUAAUACCGCAUGUGGCCCACGGGCUAACGCUUCGGGGCUUUGGGAACGGCCUGCGUAAGAUUAGCUAGUUGGUGAGGUAAUGGCUCACCAAGGCGACGAUCUUUAGCUGGUCUGAGAGGAUGAUCAGCCAGACUGGGACUGAGACACGGCCCAGACUCCUACGGGAGGCAGCAGUAGGGAAUUUUCCACAAUGGGCGAAAGCCUGAUGGAGCAACGCCGCGUGCAGGAUGAAUGCCUUCGGGUUGUAAACUGCUUUUAUAUGCGACGAAUAUGACGGUAGCAUAUGAAUAAGGAUCGGCUAACUCCGUGCCAGCAGCCGCCGCCG
RNAcentral lists this ribosomal RNA (459 nucleotides) under uncultured bacterium. RNAcentral describes it as "partial 16S ribosomal RNA". It matches the Rfam family "Bacterial small subunit ribosomal RNA", at positions 28 to 523 of the family's 1533-position model. The record is from RNAcentral.